RNAcentral lists this ribosomal RNA (495 nucleotides) under uncultured bacterium. RNAcentral's name for it is "partial 16S ribosomal RNA". It matches the Rfam family "Bacterial small subunit ribosomal RNA", at positions 28 to 507 of the family's 1533-position model. The record is from RNAcentral.
GAUGAACGCUGGCGGCGUGCCUAAUACAUGCAAGUCGAGCGAACAGAUGAGGAGCUUGCUCCUCUGACGUUAGCGGCGGACGGGUGAGUAACACGUGGAUAACCUACCUAUAAGACUGGGAUAACUUCGGGAAACCGGAGCUAAUACCGGAUAAUAUAUUGAACCGCAUGGUUCAAUAGUGAAAGACGGUUUUGCUGUCACUUAUAGAUGGAUCCGCGCCGCAUUAGCUAGUUGGUAAGGUAACGGCUUACCAAGGCAACGAUGCGUAGCCGACCUGAGAGGGUGAUCGGCCACACUGGAACUGAGACACGGUCCAGACUCCUACGGGAGGCAGCAGUAGGGAAUCUUCCGCAAUGGGCGAAAGCCUGACGGAGCAACGCCGCGUGAGUGAUGAAGGUCUUCGGAUCGUAACUCUGUUAUUAGGGAAGAACAAAUGUGUAAGUAACUAUGCACGUCUUGACGGUACCUAAUCAGAAAGCCACGGCUAACUACGUG